AAUUAAAUAUCCUUAAGAAAUAUGUAGUGAGAUCGAUUCCUGCACCGGACUGGGUGUUGUGUUCUUGAGCAAGACACUUUAUUUCAUGUUGUUCCAGUUCACUCAGCUGUAGAAA
Octopus sinensis (East Asian common octopus) is the source of this 115-nucleotide long non-coding RNA. RefSeq lists it as uncharacterized. Lineage: Eukaryota; Metazoa; Mollusca; Cephalopoda; Octopoda; Octopodidae. The record is from RefSeq and is a predicted model, not a curated record. The transcript is spliced from 3 exons.